RNAcentral lists this ribosomal RNA (1540 nucleotides) under Staphylococcus aureus. Its description in RNAcentral is "16S ribosomal RNA". It matches the Rfam family "Bacterial small subunit ribosomal RNA". Lineage: Bacteria; Bacillati; Bacillota; Bacilli; Caryophanales; Staphylococcaceae. The record is from RNAcentral.
AGAGUUUGAUCCUGGCUCAGGAUGAACGCUGGCGGCGUGCCUAAUACAUGCAAGUCGAGCGAACGGACGAGAAGCUUGCUUCUCUGAUGUUAGCGGCGGACGGGUGAGUAACACGUGGAUAACCUACCUAUAAGACUGGGAUAACUUCGGGAAACCGGAGCUAAUACCGGAUAAUAUUUUGAACCGCAUGGUUCAAAAGUGAAAGACGGUCUUGCUGUCACUUAUAGAUGGAUCCGCGCUGCAUUAGCUAGUUGGUAGGGUAACGGCUUACCAAGGCAACGAUGCAUAGCCGACCUGAGAGGGUGAUCGGCCACACUGGAACUGAGACACGGUCCAGACUCCUACGGGAGGCAGCAGUAGGGAAUCUUCCGCAAUGGGCGAAAGCCUGACGGAGCAACGCCGCGUGAGUGAUGAAGGUCUUCGGAUCGUAAAACUCUGUUAUUAGGGAAGAACAUAUGUGUAAGUAACUGUGCACAUCUUGACGGUACCUAAUCAGAAAGCCACGGCUAACUACGUGCCAGCAGCCGCGGUAAUACGUAGGUGGCAAGCGUUAUCCGGAAUUAUUGGGCGUAAAGCGCGCGUAGGCGGUUUUUUAAGUCUGAUGUGAAAGCCCACGGCUCAACCGUGGAGGGUCAUUGGAAACUGGAAAACUUGAGUGCAGAAGAGGAAAGUGGAAUUCCAUGUGUAGCGGUGAAAUGCGCAGAGAUAUGGAGGAACACCAGUGGCGAAGGCGACUUUCUGGUCUGUAACUGACGCUGAUGUGCGAAAGCGUGGGGAUCAAACAGGAUUAGAUACCCUGGUAGUCCACGCCGUAAACGAUGAGUGCUAAGUGUUAGGGGGUUUCCGCCCCUUAGUGCUGCAGCUAACGCAUUAAGCACUCCGCCUGGGGAGUACGACCGCAAGGUUGAAACUCAAAGGAAUUGACGGGGACCCGCACAAGCGGUGGAGCAUGUGGUUUAAUUCGAAGCAACGCGAAGAACCUUACCAAAUCUUGACAUCCUUUGACAACUCUAGAGAUAGAGCCUUCCCCUUCGGGGGACAAAGUGACAGGUGGUGCAUGGUUGUCGUCAGCUCGUGUCGUGAGAUGUUGGGUUAAGUCCCGCAACGAGCGCAACCCUUAAGCUUAGUUGCCAUCAUUAAGUUGGGCACUCUAAGUUGACUGCCGGUGACAAACCGGAGGAAGGUGGGGAUGACGUCAAAUCAUCAUGCCCCUUAUGAUUUGGGCUACACACGUGCUACAAUGGACAAUACAAAGGGCAGCGAAACCGCGAGGUCAAGCAAAUCCCAUAAAGUUGUUCUCAGUUCGGAUUGUAGUCUGCAACUCGACUACAUGAAGCUGGAAUCGCUAGUAAUCGUAGAUCAGCAUGCUACGGUGAAUACGUUCCCGGGUCUUGUACACACCGCCCGUCACACCACGAGAGUUUGUAACACCCGAAGCCGGUGGAGUAACCUUUUAGGAGCUAGCCGUCGAAGGUGGGACAAAUGAUUGGGGUGAAGUCGUAACAAGGUAGCCGUAUCGGAAGGUGCGGCUGGAUCACCU